UACGAAGGGGGCUAGCGUUGCUCGGAAUCACUGGGCGUAAAGGGAGCGUAGGUGGCCUUAUAAGUCAGCGGUGAAAGACUAGAGCUUAACUCUGGAAUUGCCAUUGAUACUGUAGGGCUUGAGUAUAGUUGCUGUGGGCGGAAUAUGACAUGUAGUGGUGAAAUACUUAGAGAUGUCAUAGAACACCGAUUGCGAAGGCAGCUCACAAAACUAUAACUGACACUGAGGCUCGAAAGUGCGGGGAUCAAACAGG
RNAcentral lists this ribosomal RNA (253 nucleotides) under uncultured bacterium. RNAcentral describes it as "partial 16S ribosomal RNA". It matches the Rfam family "Bacterial small subunit ribosomal RNA", at positions 524 to 776 of the family's 1533-position model. The record is from RNAcentral.